GACGAACGCUGGCGGCGUGCUUAACACAUGCAAGUCACGGGGGUCCGCAAGGGCAACCGGCGAACGGGUGCGUAACACGUGAGCAACCUGCCUUUGUGUGGGGGAUAGCCGGCCCAACGGCCGGGUAAUACCGCAUACGUUCUUGUGGGGGAGUCCCCAUGAGAGGAAACCUCCGGGGCACAAAGAGGGGCUCGCGGCCUAUCAGCUAGUUGGCGAGGUAACGGCUCACCAAGGCGACGACGGGUAGCNGGUCUGAGAGGAUGGCCAGCCACAUUGGGACUGAGAGACGGCCCAGACUCCUACGGGAGGCAGCAGUGGGGAAUCUUGCGCAAUGGCCGAAAGGCUGACGCAGCGACGCCGCGUGUGGGAUGAAGCAUUUCGGUGUGUAAACCAUGUGCCCGGGACGAAACCNCCUUUUGAGGGUGUUGACGGUACCGGGUGAGGAAGCACCGG
Molecule: ribosomal RNA, 453 nt
Filed under: uncultured bacterium
Lineage: Bacteria
Description: bacterial SSU rRNA
Rfam family: Bacterial small subunit ribosomal RNA
Source: RNAcentral